AUCUCCACCACCACCGGUACCACCACUACCAGGCUAACACAGAAAUGCAGAAACUCAAUUAGAUCGAUAAGGAAAGCAUUCUCCUUCUCCUUCUCCUUCUCCUCAACCUUUUCUUUUUAUUUCUUGUGUUUGUUAGUAGUAUGGUUUCAUUUAAGGCAAAAGAGAAGACCAUGAGAAACAUUAUGGUUUCAUCUUUUCUCCAAAUUGCGGUUGGGCAAUCAGCUGAGACUGCUAAACAGUUCUUACAGAGCCGCAAGAAUGGGACAUCCUCCUUAUGUUGCAUUUGGGAAUUUUAAUGAGGAGUUGAAACAUCCUGGAGUCUGGGAGCCUGAGCAAGGUGCACCAUCAACAGCAGAUAACUCCCGAGAUAAUCUUGUUUCGCUCUGUUGUCCCCCUUUUGAGGUGACGUACAAGGGACCUUUCAACAAGGUAAAGGAGAUUUCUUUGGGGAACAUUCUUAUAUUGUUGUUCUAUGUCUUUAUUUUUUCAAUUUGAUAAAUUUUGAACAAAAUCUCUACUUGUCUAAUUGAAACUUGGUUAACCCUUCCUACAUUACUUUGUUAUCUGAAACAGAACCGUGGCUCAAACAAUCGGCACUUACUCCAUAGAUAAUCGUCUAGUUUAAUAUUAUCUAAAUCUAUUAUUUAACUUUAUUUCUUGGAUUGGGUAUAAUUUGAGUAAUCUUGUUCUGUAUGCUGUGUUUGUGAAAGCAAGGUGUACGAUGACACCACUGAGGGUAGGAAAGUCCGCACCUACUACAACCUGGUUUCUAUUCCUGUAGUUCUGGUUCUGGACUUAAUAACCGGGGAAGAAAUGUAUUUAUAGGGUGGCGUGAUUCAAUCUGGGCAUUUACUAGAGGAGCUGCUUUCUUUCAUGGAUGGAGGUCCCAAAGAUCAUCAUGUUGCAGUUCCUCACAAACGUUCAAGGAAAACCUCUCAGGCUCCUACUCUCAAACCUAAAGGAAAGAAGAAGAAGACUUAAAAUCCUCUGUAGAAGCUUGAAAGAUUUAAUCUAAAAUCCCAUAACUGAAGAUGUUUCUUACAAGGACUGAGUAUGAUAGAGGUGUGAAUACUUUCUCACCUGAAGGGAGAUUGUUUCAGGUUGAGUAUGCUAUUCAAGCUAUUAAGCUUGGAUCAACUGCAAUUGGAUUGAAAACUAAAGAAGGUGUAGUGCUUGCUGUAGAGAAGCGUAUCACUUCACCAUUGCUGGAGCCCAGUUGUGUGGAGAAAAUUAUGGAAAUCGAUGAGCAUAUAGGCUGUGCAACGAGUGGACUAGUUGCUGAUGCUCGUACACUUGUUGCACAUGCACGAGUCGAAACUCAGAUACUACACAGACCCGUCUGGCACAUUUUGGCAGUGUAAUGCAAAAGCAACAGGAUCAGGUUCUGAGGGAGCAGACAGCUCUUUACAGGAGCAAUUCAACAAGGACAUGACACUCCAAGAAGCCGAAACAGUAGCUCUUUCAAUCUUGAAGCAAGGGAUGGAGGAGAAGGUUGCUCCGAAGUACCAUUUAUAUUCUCCUUCUGAGGUGGAGGCUGUCAUCGCUCGCUUAUAGAAAGAAAACCCUUAAUCGUUCGGAUCUGUGUCUAUACAGGAAUAUCCGCAGCUUGAAUAUUUCCUACUCCAAAAAGACUCUCCUAUGGCUAUCCAAUCUUUAAAAAUUGGGUGCUGCUUUAAGUUCCAAGGUUUUCAUAUUCUAGACCACACUAUGUUCAGGCACUGAAUACACCACCAUCAGCUUCAGGCACUGAAUACACCACUAUCAGCUCUCGUUGAAGUUAACUGGUUGCUGCUAUCGGAUUUGCGAAAUUGUACUCGUCUCACUCAACUAAAGUGGCAUGUAACUAUUGAAUUGCAGUUUUCUCCAGAGGUAGUUUUAGUAGAUUCAUAUUGAUUUCACGAUCGAAUAUUCAUUUUGUGUUGAGAAUGAUCCAUGCCUCUGUAUAUCUCCAUACAAGUAUAAGUUGGUUACUAUUAA
Papaver somniferum (opium poppy) is the source of this 1977-nucleotide RNA transcript. It is a transcript of the gene named plant UBX domain-containing protein 7-like, with no coding region annotated. The transcript is spliced from 12 exons. Lineage: Eukaryota; Viridiplantae; Streptophyta; Magnoliopsida; Ranunculales; Papaveraceae. The record is from RefSeq and is a predicted model, not a curated record.